Molecule: long non-coding RNA, 475 nt
Filed under: Mus pahari (shrew mouse)
Lineage: Eukaryota; Metazoa; Chordata; Mammalia; Rodentia; Muridae
Description: lncRNA (MGP_PahariEiJ_G0012257.1)
Source: RNAcentral
GUAGCGAAGGGCUGGAGGCAAACACCGAGCUCCCCCUGAGCCGCUCGGGAACAGGGAGGGUUCUGCUACCCUGAGGGGCCCUCCCCGCGGGGCAGAGGGGACUAGCCCAACAUGGCUUCCAACACAGAGGAGACCAGAAGGACCCAAUAAGAGAUGGAAGACGCGACUGAGAAUACAGAAAGGAGGGUGGUGCUGUGUGGGAGGCAGAUACAGAUGGUGUUUCCAUAAGAGGAAGUGAUCAUGGCAACCAUGACCUUCUUUCUUCCAAGAGGCUGCUGGGAAGGUGGGAUGACCUAGGACUGACCUUGGACUUGGCAUCACAGAAGCCAUGUCAACCUUCACAGGUGGGGGGAAGUCACGACAUGUACUUCUGACUCUAUGCUUGCCUUGAGGAACAAUGGCAUGACACAGGGAUGUGGACGUUUUUCAACCAGAUGCUUCGGUACAGCAGUGUCGGCACACAAGGAGUGUUCCA